UUAACUCAAAUUUGUAUGAAGUUGGAACGUGUGCUUACGCCGCUAGGGGCGAUGUUGCAACUGCAUACAAAUUUAAAUUA
Molecule: non-coding RNA, 80 nt
Organism: Bombyx mori (domestic silkworm)
Lineage: Eukaryota; Metazoa; Arthropoda; Insecta; Lepidoptera; Bombycidae
Source: Rfam